This 455-nucleotide ribosomal RNA is filed under the name uncultured bacterium. RNAcentral describes it as "bacterial SSU rRNA". It matches the Rfam family "Bacterial small subunit ribosomal RNA", at positions 28 to 483 of the family's 1533-position model. The record is from RNAcentral.
GAUGAACGCUGGCGGCGUGCUUAACACAUGCAAGUCGAGCGAAGCACUUACCAUUGACUCUUCGGAAGAUUUGGUAAAUGACUGAGCGGCGGACGGGUGAGUAACGCGUGGGUAACCUGCCUCAUACAGGGGAAUAACAGUUAGAAAUGGCUGCUAAUGCCGCAUAAGCGCACAGUACCGCAUGGUACGGUGUGAAAAACCGAGGUGGUAUGAGAUGGACCCGCGUCUGAUUAGGUAGUUGGUGGGGUAACGGCCUACCAAGCCGACGAUCAGUAGCCGGCCUGAGAGGGUGAACGGCCACAUUGGGACUGAGACACGGCCCAGACUCCUACGGGAGGCAGCAGUGGGGAAUAUUGCACAAUGGGGGAAACCCUGAUGCAGCGACGCCGCGUGAAGGAAGAAGUAUCUCGGUAUGUAAACUUCUAUCAGCAGGGAAGAAAAUGACGGUACCKACU